RNAcentral lists this ribosomal RNA (1362 nucleotides) under Triticum aestivum (bread wheat). RNAcentral describes it as "partial small subunit ribosomal RNA". Lineage: Eukaryota; Viridiplantae; Streptophyta; Magnoliopsida; Poales; Poaceae. The record is from RNAcentral.
AUGGCAGCAGCGCCGCCGUCGCUCCCGGACGAUCUCAUCCAAGAGAUCCUCCUCCGCUUCCCAACCGACGACCCUACCUGCCUCCUACGAUCCUCCCUCGUCUGCAAGGGCUGGAGCAACAUCAUUUUCCACCCCAGCUUUCGCCGCCGCCUCCACAAGAUCCACGAGGCAUCCCCCGUGCUCGGCUUCCUCCACGACGAGGCCAACGAGCGCACCCCGUACUUCAUCCCCACCACUGCGUCGUCCUUCUCCCUCGCUGCCCCGGACCACCGCUCGUGGCGGGCCCUCGAUUGCCGCCAUGGUCGUGCCCUCUUCCUGUCCAGAUCCCAGGAUGCCAAGGAACUCCUCGUGUGGGAGCCAAUCACGGGUACCCAAGAGCGUGUACCGCUGCCUGUAGCGUUCGAGUUUGGCUACUCGGCGGCGGCCGUGUUCUGCGCAGUGGAUAGGUGCGACCAUCGCGGCUGCCUUGGGGGUCCUUUCUGCGUGCUUUUCGUCUUCUCCUCCAAGGAAGACGCCGACGAGUAUGUAACGUCGGCAUGUGCAUACUCGUUAGAGAUUGGUGCCUGGGGCGGGAUGACCACAAUGCACGGCGAGUUCAUAGGGUUCACAAAAUAUUCAAGUGUGCUCAUUGAUAGCUCUUUGCUCUACUUCAUCGUCUACGACUACGUGGACACUGAGUCAAUCCUGGAGUAUGACUUGUCAAGGCAUGUUCUGACUAUAUUCAGCGUACCAGGCAACUAUUAUGACUGCACAUGUACUCUCAUGGUGACGGAGGACGGUGGGCUUGGAUUAAUCCAAGACUUGCGUCGGCAUCUCAAGUUGUGGACAAGAGAGGCGAGUGAUGGCACUGAUGCAAAAUGGUUGCUGAGCCGGGUCAUCUACCCGCACAAUUUGCUCCCAACCAGUGCUUUGUUGGAUGAAUGUUAUGUAGUGGCACUGAAGGCCUUUGCUGAGGGAGCAAAUGCAAUUUUUUUUACUACAGUUGUCGGCCUCUUUGCAAUUGAUCUACAAUCUGAGCUGGUGAUGAAGGUGUCCGACCAUUGUGGCUUCCGUUUCCAUAAAUUUAUUCCAAUUGUCACCUUCUACACUCCUGCGCCAAGAGGCGACCACCAGAAUCAACUGCUAUCGAAGCCUAGUGAGGAGGCAUGUAGUGGGGAGGGGGGAGAGGGGGAGAAAACAAUACAUCAGGCACACGAGCUGUUCAAUAAGGGGUCCAAUGCUAUCAAUGAGGGAGAAUUUGUCAACACCUUUGAAUGCAUCAGCCACGACAAUAUGUUAGGGUUCCGCAUCAUGAGGAAGUUGCUCUUGGAUGUGCUGCCACGUUCAAGAAAUAUGGAUGCACAUACAAUGCUCAAGAGGUGA